GAGGGUACAGCUUAAGUGGUAGACAGUGUGCUUAGCAUGCACGAGAUCCUGGGUUCAAUCCCCGGUACCUUCU
RNAcentral lists this transfer RNA (73 nucleotides) under Camelus bactrianus (Bactrian camel). It matches the Rfam family "tRNA". Rfam says of the family: Transfer RNA (tRNA) molecules are approximately 80 nucleotides in length. RNAcentral also lists the same sequence under 1 other name. Lineage: Eukaryota; Metazoa; Chordata; Mammalia; Artiodactyla; Camelidae. The record is from Rfam by way of RNAcentral.